Perca fluviatilis (European perch) is the source of this 210-nucleotide long non-coding RNA. RefSeq lists it as uncharacterized. NCBI's taxonomy places the organism in Eukaryota, Metazoa, Chordata, Actinopteri, Perciformes, Percidae. The transcript has 2 exons. The record is from RefSeq and is a predicted model, not a curated record.
GGAGGUUCUCAGUCAUUCAGAGAAACAAACUUCAGAGAGAAGACGCUCAAAGUUCACUCAUAAGUUCAGUCCAAAGACGCCAAUGGGGCCACCGGAGGAGUUUUGUGAUCUUUUAUCAAAAUCGCCCUGACCCUCCCUUCACCAGCAAUUAAUUUUGGACGACCCUCCAAAAUGAUAUGGAAUAAAGGGAUGACCCUCCCCAACAAUUUA